Passer domesticus (house sparrow) is the source of this 300-nucleotide long non-coding RNA. RefSeq lists it as uncharacterized. NCBI's taxonomy places the organism in Eukaryota, Metazoa, Chordata, Aves, Passeriformes, Passeridae. The record is from RefSeq and is a predicted model, not a curated record. The transcript has 3 exons.
AGUUUCUCUGUAUAGGACAGUCCCAGCAUUUUAUCUCAGUUUUGUAGACAGACCCUUUUUCAACUUAAGAAUGGGAAUUCUUCAUAUGUCAGAGUGAUAUGAUAAGAAAGAUACAAGAAGCAAAUGGAGACACAGGAGAUAUAUCGCAGAGGUUGUUUGAGAAUCACAGAAUGGUGAUGUCAGAAGGGACCUCUGAAACAAUCUGAUCCAACCCCCUACUCAAGCAGAUUCGCCUAGAGGAAGCUGCUCAGGAACAAUUCUAGGAGGCUUCGGAAUGUCUGAGGAUGGUGACUUCACAGC